Sorex araneus (European shrew) is the source of this 900-nucleotide long non-coding RNA. RefSeq lists it as uncharacterized. Lineage: Eukaryota; Metazoa; Chordata; Mammalia; Eulipotyphla; Soricidae. The transcript is spliced from 4 exons. The record is from RefSeq and is a predicted model, not a curated record.
GCGUCACCACCAGCACGGUGAAAACAGAGUAGGGCGGCUCUCGGCCCGGCGCUGUCUGGACCACACCGCCCGGAACCGGGCUGCUGCUGCUCGCUUCUGGGCCCAGGGAGAGAGCGACGCUGGCAGCGGCCCGGGAGAGAGAGCUCGGCAAGCUACCAAGAGUAUCCUGCCCGAACGGCAGAGCCUGGCAAGCUACCCGUGGCGUAUUCGACAUGCCAUAAACAAUAACAAUAAGUCUCACAAUGGAGAUGUUACUGGUGCCUGCUCGAGCAAAUCGAUGAACAAUGGGACAACAGUGCUACUACAGUGCUACCUAAGAUGAAUUCUCUUCUCCACACCCCCUCUGACCAACAGGGAUCAGAGAUUUAUCCCCAAUUCUGUAACUGAAACAUUAGUUCUUACGAAUGACUGAUAUUUGCAAUUCCUAACUCUAGAGAAACAGAGAGUCUCUUGCUUGCACGCCUGGCUGUCUUCCCCGGGGCCCCUCGGAGGGGAUGGGCUCCAGCUUCCCUCCCCGCCCCAAGCAGAGCUCCCGGUGGCCGAAGACCACCAGAACCUAGCCACAGCCAUGCUCAAGGCCCCUCUCCACACAUUCGGACAAGCCUCGCUCAUGAAGGUACCGGCAGAGGAAUCCAGCUCUUCUAUCCAUUUUUCUCUUCUCUCGUGUCAUCUAAAAAGCCUUGGAGCACUGGUUGAACUCUACAAGAAGGAAAUAUCCAACCUCAUCAGAAAAUGGGGUGAUGAAAUGAACAGAAACUUUCUCAAGGAAGAAAUCCAAAUAAGAGGCACAUGAGAAAAUGCUCUGCAUCACUAAUCAUCAGGAAGAUGCAGAUCAAGACCAAACAUGAAGGCCACUCAAUACCUCUAUUGCAAAAUACAACACCCAACAGGAGAGAGAAC